UAAAUUGAAGGAAAUUCAAAAAAAAUUUUAUUUCCAGGUAUUUUUCAACCUUCUACGAGAAAAAAAAAAUGAUAGACUGUGUAGCAGACAUGGGACUGGGGAGAAUGUGUGUGUGUGUGUGUGUGUGUGUGUGUGUGUGUGUGUGAAAGAGAGAGAGAGAGAGAUGUCCGUUUAUGUGUUACGUAUGAGAAAGAGAGAGAGACAGCUUGUGUCUGUGAGGGGGAAAGAGAGAAUGUACCUUUGUGAGAGAGGAUGUCGUCUGUUUAUGUGUUAUGUAUGAGAGAGAGAGAGAGAGAGGCGGCUUAUUUGUGUGUGAGAGAGAGAGGAUAUUGUCUGUUUAUGUGAGAGAGAAAGAAAGAAAGAGAGAGGAUGUCGUCGGUUUAUGUGAGAGAGAAAGAAAGAAAGAAAGAGAGGAUGUCGUCUGUUUAUGUGAGAGAGAAAGAAAGAAAGAGAGAGGAUGUAGUCUGUUUUUGUGAGAGAGAGAAAGAAAGAGAGAGAGGAUGUCGUCUGUUUAUGUGAGAGAAAGAAAAGGUCCAUUUAUGUAGUUUGUGUGUGAGAGGGGGGUUUGUGUGGGUGAGAGGGAGAGAGAGAAUGUGUUUGUGAGAGAGGAUGUCGUCUGUUUGUGUGUGAAACAGAGAGAGGAGGAAGAGAGUCUUGUCUAUAUGAGUGAGAGAGAGAGAGAGGGAGAGGAAGAGAGAAGUUGUAUCCGAAAUAUGUGUAAGAGAAGGAUUGUGUGAAGUGUGCGGGUAACAUGUUGCGGAUAGUGUGUGUGUGUGUAUGUGAGUCAAACUAGUGUAUGUGUAUGUGUUAGAGUGAAAUAUGUACGAGUUUAUAUUAUGUAAAUGUGUGCAUGAGAAGAAAGAAGGAAAGAAAGAAGCAAGAUAGAGACAUAGAUAAGUAUUUGGUGAUGUCAGGUUUGGACUGUUUUGAGAGAAGGAGAGCGUGAGAAUGGAUGAACGUUUGCUACUCACAAGAGACCAUUUUGAAUAAAAGUUUUUAUUUGUAAAUUCUAAAACAGACAAAACACGUGGUUUCUUUUUUUUUUUUCUCUUUUCUUUUCUUUUACCAUCUAUUUUAUUUAUAUUCUAGUUGCCAAGGGUACUCUGCUUCUUCCGUCUGUCCCAACUCGUUGCCAUAGUAACUGAGAGACAAACACAAACUACGUCACACACACAAACAACUGUAUUGGGUGGGAGGAGGGGGUGGGGACAGGCGUGGUCAAUCGGUAUUUUUCUUCAACUCGUUGCUAUAGUAAUGGAGAACCACCAGAUUAAAUUAUCAAUCAUCAUCAUCAUCAUCAUCAUCAUGUUUUGCAGAGAGUAUGAAUGAAGGAAAAAAAAAAUUAAUAAACUGUUACUAUAGUGACUCAUGCAAACAACACAACCGAUAUCGAUACAGCCAACAAGGGAGCCUCUACGCAAGAAAUAGCAGCCAAACCUGCCUUAAAUCACACAUUACUGUCUUGAGAAAACAAGGACUCAGUCAAUGUAGCACUUAGAUACACAAUGCAUGAAUAUAAAAUGGGAUGGUCAUGACUGGAAUGCCUGUGAUUAUAUAGGUCUGCUGGUUCAGGGAUAGUGAGGUAUAAGGUGUUAAACAGUAAGUUGCUUACAUAAUUACAAAAGGCAGAUUACAAGGCAUUCAUGCCUUGUCCAAGUAAAGAAAUUAUAAAAUGAGAUAUCCACAAAUUUACACAGAAGGUGAAUGGAGGUGUGGGGUGGGGGUCAUUAAUAAUUUCAAAUUUUGACAAAAGGCCAGCAGUGUUUUUGAGGGGAAGGGCUAAGUUGAUUACAUUGGCCCCCAGUGCACAACUGGUACUUAUUUUAUCAACAGUGAGAAGAUGAAAGGCAAAGUUGACUCUGACGAAAUUUGAACAACAAAAUGUAAAGACACACAAAAUACGGUUAAUUACUCUGCUCAGCAAGCUAACGAACGUGCCAGCUCGCUGCCCUUAAUAAUAAUAAUAAUAAUAAUAAUAAUAAUCUUUUCCACUAUAGGCACAAGGCCUGAAAUUUUAGGGGAGGGGGCUAGUCGAUUCAAUCGGUACUUAUUUUAUUGACCCUUAAGCGAUGAAAGGCAAAGUCGACCCCAAUGGAAUUUGAACUCGGAUGAAUUGCUGCUAAGCAUUUCACCCAGCAUGCUAACAAUUCUGCCAGCUCACGGCCUUAAUAAUAAUAAUAAUCCUUUCUACUAAAGGCACAAGGCCAGAAAUUUGAGGGGAAGAGACUAGUUUGAUAUCGACCCCAGUGCUUCACUGGUACUUAAUUUAUCAACCCUCAAAAGGAUGAAAGGCAAAGUCCACCUCAGCAGAAUUUGAACUUAGAACGUAAAGACAGACGAAAU
This 2343-nucleotide long non-coding RNA is filed under the name Octopus vulgaris (common octopus). The record is from RNAcentral. Lineage: Eukaryota; Metazoa; Mollusca; Cephalopoda; Octopoda; Octopodidae.